AAACUUUCAACAACGGAUCUCUUGGCUCUGGCAUCGAUGAAGAACGCAGCGAAAUGCGAUACAUAAUGUGAAUUGCAGAAUCCAGUGAAUCAUUGAAUCUUUGAACGCACAUUGCGCCUGCUAGUAUCCUGGCCGGCAUGCCUAUUCGAGCGUCUUUU
Molecule: ribosomal RNA, 158 nt
Filed under: Phyllachora sp. XL-2018u
Lineage: Eukaryota; Fungi; Ascomycota; Sordariomycetes; Phyllachorales; Phyllachoraceae
Description: 5.8S ribosomal RNA
Rfam family: 5.8S ribosomal RNA
About the family: 5.8S ribosomal RNA (5.8S rRNA) is a component of the large subunit of the eukaryotic ribosome. It is transcribed by RNA polymerase I as part of the 45S precursor that also contains 18S and 28S rRNA.
Source: RNAcentral